CAGCCGCCGCGGUAAUACGGAGGGUGCAAGCGUUAAUCGGAAUUACUGGGCGUAAAGCGUGUGUAGGCGGUUCGUUAAGUCUGUUGUGAAAGCCCCGGGCUCAACCUGGGAAUGGCAAUGGAUACUGGCGAGCUAGAGUGUGUCAGAGGAUGGUGGAAUUCCCGGUGUAGCGGUGAAAUGCGUAGAGAUCGGGAGGAACAUCAGUGGCGAAGGCGGCCAUCUGGGACAACACUGACGCUGAGGCACGAAAGCGUGGGGAGCAAACAGGAUUAGAUACCCCCGUAGUCCCUGUCUCUUAUAC
This 301-nucleotide ribosomal RNA is filed under the name uncultured bacterium. RNAcentral describes it as "partial 16S ribosomal RNA". It matches the Rfam family "Bacterial small subunit ribosomal RNA", at positions 509 to 807 of the family's 1533-position model. The record is from RNAcentral.